RNAcentral lists this ribosomal RNA (234 nucleotides) under uncultured bacterium. RNAcentral describes it as "partial 16S ribosomal RNA". It matches the Rfam family "Bacterial small subunit ribosomal RNA", at positions 118 to 347 of the family's 1533-position model. The record is from RNAcentral.
UGAGCAAUCUGCCCUUCUCUUUGGAAUAAGCGUUGGAAACGACGUCUAAUGCCGAAUACGACCUCCUUUCGCAUGAUCGGAGGUGGAAAGCUCCGGCGGAGAAGGAUGAGCUCGCGGCCUAUCAGCUAGUUGGUGCGGGUAAUGGCCCACCAAGGCGACGACGGGUAGCCGGCCUGAGAGGGUGACCGGCCACACUGGGACUGAGACACGGCCCAGACUCCUACGGGAGNAGCG